GGGAAACUUACCAAGGCCAAACAGAGGUGGGAUUGACAGAUUGAGAGCUCUUUCUUGAUUCUUUGGGUGGUGGUGCAUGGCCGUUCUUAGUUGGUGGAGUGAUUUGUGGCUUAAUUUGACUCAACGCGGGAAAUCUCACCAGGCCCGGCUACUGGAAGGAUUGACAGAUUGAUAUUGAUAUUGAGCAAUAA
This 191-nucleotide ribosomal RNA is filed under the name uncultured eukaryote. Its description in RNAcentral is "partial 18S ribosomal RNA". It matches the Rfam family "Eukaryotic small subunit ribosomal RNA", at positions 1208 to 1456 of the family's 1831-position model. The record is from RNAcentral.